RNAcentral lists this long non-coding RNA (1595 nucleotides) under Xyrichtys novacula (pearly razorfish). Lineage: Eukaryota; Metazoa; Chordata; Actinopteri; Labriformes; Labridae. The record is from RNAcentral.
GCUACAUUCUCCUACUUCAAGUCACUGUCUGUUCAUCCACGGUGUAGCCAGUGCAGCUCAGCAGAGUCCUACUAAUGGUGAUCCUUCAAGUCCUGCUGUCCUGUGAAGCAAGCUGCAGCAGAUGUCAUGACAUUCAGAUCAUCAGUUUAUCUUUACUGCAGCUUUAAACUUUCCCUGAGGUAACGGUGUAUUUCCUUGCCCCAUAACAAAAACCAUGUUUGACCAACAUAGAAAAGCACAGAAUUACUGUUAGCACAGGAUUACAGAGUUAAAGUGAAGGGGAUUUUGUUUGUUUUUUCAGACCUCUCCUCCUCCUGCAUCUGACUCCAGUGAUGCUGUCAACUUGAACACUGAUAACUGCACACAGUGAUCCUACAACCACAGGUCAAAGGUCAAAACAUUACCUCACUCUAAACCUUCACUCAGAACUGUACCGGGCUCUGCUUUUGGUUUAGAAAAAAAGUGCCCAGACAGAACACAGUACUCACUUAAGGAACUGACUGAUUGUCUUCAGGACAGGACAACUACUACUCUUGUAUUGUUUUGAAUCGUGGUUACUACAUUGUGUGAUCUGUCAUAUCUGUUGAUAUUUUAAGUUUCCUUUGUGGGUUAUUUUUUAACUUUAUUUUUUCAUUUUAUCUUAGUGUUUCCUUUCCCUUUCACCAUGUAUCUGUCCUCAUAUCAUAAGAUGACCAACACUGAUGAAGGGAAAAAAUACCACUUACUUAAGUUGCUGCAGGCACUUGAAUUUGUCAUGUUUUAAUAUGCUCACCAUAUGCCUCCAAUUUACCUACAAGAGAGGACAUGUUUUUAGGACAGAAUUAUGUACUUUGGGUUUCAGCUGGUAGGUACACUGAAGGUUUUUCACGUGUGCUUAGUCUUGGGCUAAUGUUUUGGACAGCAGUGAUCCAGGCAUUACAGUGUGAAACAAUCCCUGCUGAAGGUUGUCGUCACAAUCCUCAAAACACAGGGCUUGGUUAAACGAGCUGUGUAAAGUGAUUUCAUAGAAGAACAAAAUUUUUUAUGCUUAUCCUUAAGCUACUGUAAUUCUCCACAGUAGAUAAUUUUUUGAGCAGAAACUGUCAAUGUGAAGACGACCCAGCAUUUCAGUAAGACCGAGCAGUCUGAAUGUUUGGACAAGAAAACACUGAAAACAAAAAUGAUUGUCAGUCUGCUGCAAUGAGCUGAUGACAGUAUUGGCCUUGUUCUAACUACUCUGUGAAAAGCCUUUUGGUAGUAAGGUGGACCAAUACAUGACAUCAAUGUAUUUCAAGUUCUCAAUUCUAUUCUUUGAAAUGACCAUUUUAGAUUUUUUUCCAAACUUCCACUUCAUUUUUGUUUUUCUAAAUUAUUUUUUAUACAUGAGAGGGCCCACACUUCACUGCAGUUGGCUUCAAAAAUACCAUAAUGCCAUACUGAAGUUAUUAACCUUUCACCUUACCUUGCCUGUAUAUUUCCACAAGCCUGGAUGACAUUGCAUUUUUGCACUUGCAUUCUUUAUCUAACCCUUUACAUUAUUUUAAACCAAUUUCUGUUUAAUACUGCUGUACUUCACUGUACAGUAAACUGCUGAGUUAUUUUUUCACAUUAUUCCU